This 253-nucleotide ribosomal RNA is filed under the name uncultured bacterium. RNAcentral describes it as "partial 16S ribosomal RNA". It matches the Rfam family "Bacterial small subunit ribosomal RNA", at positions 524 to 776 of the family's 1533-position model. The record is from RNAcentral.
UACGUAGGCAGCGAGCGUUGUUCGGAGUUACUGGGCGUAAAGGGUGUGUAGGCGGUUGUUUAAGGUUGGUGUGAAAUCUCCCGGCUCAACUGGGAGGGUGCGCCGAAUACUGAAUGACUAGAGUGCGGGAGAGGAAAGUGGAAUUCCUGGUGUAGCGGUGAAAUGCGUAGAUAUCAGGAGGAACACCGGUGGUGUAGACGGCUUUCUGGACCGUAACUGACGCUGAGACACGAAAGCGUGGGGAGCGAGCAGG